AGCAGCCGCGGUAAUUCCAGCUCCAAUAGCGUAUAUUAAAGUUGUUGCAGUUAAAAAGCUCGUAGUUGAAUUUCGGGGUUCUACCGUUGGUCAGGCUUUGUCUGUACUGGCGUGUAGAAUUUCUACCUUCUGGGGAACCAUCAUGUUAUUAAUUUAACGUGGUGGGAAACCAGGACCUUUACCUUGAAAAAAUUAGAGUGUUCAAAGCAGGCUUAUGUCUGAAUACAUUAGCAUGGAAUAAUAAAAUAGGACGGUGGUCCUGUUUUGUUGGUUUCUGAAUCACCGUAAUGAUUAAUAGGGAUAGUUGGGGGCAUUAGUAUUCAAUUGUCAGAGGUGAAAUUCUUGAAUUUAU
This 352-nucleotide ribosomal RNA is filed under the name uncultured Racocetra. RNAcentral's name for it is "SSU rRNA". It matches the Rfam family "Eukaryotic small subunit ribosomal RNA", at positions 569 to 929 of the family's 1831-position model. The record is from RNAcentral. Lineage: Eukaryota; Fungi; Glomeromycota; Glomeromycetes; Diversisporales; Gigasporaceae.